UUGGAUUAGACCCUAAUCCAAACCGCACAACGAACUUUCACCAAGUAGAUAUAAAGUUAGUUGAAAACUUAAGCAAAGACACCAAUCUAGGGCCACAUGUAAACCGUAGUCAGAUCUAGCACUCUCACACGAGCAAAACUCGACGAAAAAACGUAGUGGACCUUUGAUCGUAGCUGACACUAAAACCCACAGGCCACAACAGAAGAACCUACCUCCGUCAGUCAAGCUUGUCAAGAGAACAUUAGGAGAGAGGGAGAUAGAUAGAUUAUGGCAAAAUCGUGCAAGGGCCUGGCAGAAGAGCUUGUCAAGUGUCUUAGCGACUCUGAUUGUGUUAAGGUUGAUAUGCGAGCUCGGAUCCGAGGAAACAAGGGAUAUUAAAUAUUGGACCUUUGGAGGCAAUUUCCUUGGAGCUAAGUUAUGUAAAUGGUAGUAGGUUCAUCAUUUACUAAGUUUAACUAUGCGUUCUAAACUUUUGCUGAUGAAAAUUCCUGGGCUUCUGGCACUACUAAUCGAUCUCUAACCAAAAUUUUGCUUUUUAUUUUAUUUUAUUUUAUUUUAUAUAGUGUCUAACUUUAUAGACUAUACUGAGAUUUUGGUCGUGGCUAAUAACAUUAUAUAAUUGGUUCAUGAGGACUUGGAGUGUGUAUUGAUGAAAUACCAUUUGCAAUUCUUGUUACGACUACCA
RNA transcript from Beta vulgaris subsp. vulgaris (sugar beet), 685 nucleotides. RefSeq lists it as uncharacterized. The transcript has 2 exons. Lineage: Eukaryota; Viridiplantae; Streptophyta; Magnoliopsida; Caryophyllales; Amaranthaceae. The record is from RefSeq and is a predicted model, not a curated record.